UACGGAGGGUGCAAGCGUUGUUCGGGAUCAUUGGGCGUAAAGCGCGUGUAGGCGGCUUGGCAAGUCAGUUGUGAAAGCCCGGGGCCCAACCCCGGAACUGCAUCUGAAACUGCCUGGCUAGAGUCCCGGAGAGGAAGGCAGAAUUCCCGGUGUAGGGGUGAAAUCCGUAGAUAUCGGGAGGAAUACCAGCGGCGAAGGCGGCAUUCUGGACGGUGACUGACGCUGAGACGCGAAAGCGUGGGGAGCAAACAGU
This 253-nucleotide ribosomal RNA is filed under the name uncultured bacterium. RNAcentral describes it as "partial 16S ribosomal RNA". It matches the Rfam family "Bacterial small subunit ribosomal RNA", at positions 524 to 776 of the family's 1533-position model. The record is from RNAcentral.